RNAcentral lists this long non-coding RNA (1002 nucleotides) under Homo sapiens (human). RNAcentral's name for it is "long non-coding RNA NONHSAT185318.1". Lineage: Eukaryota; Metazoa; Chordata; Mammalia; Primates; Hominidae. The record is from RNAcentral.
UGGGAGGCUGGCGCAAACGCAGCGGGUGGCUGGGGUAGGGGCUCAUUGGGAGCCCACGGAGCGCGGCGGCGGCUCGGGGGCCGAGUUCCCUACAACAAGGAUGGCGGUGACGGGCGCAGGGAGCGGGGCCCGGCUCUCCUUGCCUCGAGGCUCCUCUGAUUCCACUCGCGUGGCUGCGCGGCCCUGGCAGCGGCCUUCGUCCCGGGGGUGGGAGCUACACAGGGUUCCGCCCCGUCCUGGCGAGGACGCCUGAGGGGGCUCUGUGGUAAGGCUCUGUCGGGCAGGCCGGGCUUCCGGGAGGACCUGGUCUGGAUCGGUCACCGCUGGGUGCCUGAGCUCCGCAUGGAGCCUGCAGCCUUUGUUUAACUGAUAAAGAAAUGGGGGCUCCGAGCAGUCAAGAAGAACAUGCCCCAAGUUAUUCGUCAGUGAGGCGGAAAUUGUGGUGUACUUGUGUAAGUUCACAUUUUAUACUUUACCAUUAUACUGUGCUCCAAAUUAUCUGAUAUUUACUUUCAAAGCAUGUGUAGAAAGUUUACUAUGAUGAUGCAGAGACAUUGUACAGAAUCCAGUCCCUUGACUCUCAGGUCCCCAGAACACUCACUUCACGAUUUUGUUGACCUCUUCUGUCAACUUAAACCUGGCACUCUCUUGGCUGGCUUUCUCUGCUCUUUCUGGGCACUCCAAAGCUUCUGGUCCAGACCAACUAUGAAGAUAGGAUGCCCAUCCAGAAGAACGGGAAGCAUUUUCUUCCUCACCUUUGGAAAGUAAAACAAAAAAAAAAAGAAAAAUAAAAGAAAAAGUUUCUGUGGGUCAGGAGAUCAGAAAUGGUUCUAUUUCAAGGACUCUCACAGGGCUGCAAUCAAGAUGUUGGGGCUGAGCUGCAACAUCGUAUUUAUAACAGGAAGAAGUCUCUCUCUUUCACUACCUGGUUUCAAGAAAAUGAACUGCAGCGGAAGGAAUUCAGUUAACUACAGCAGCUGCAUGUGAAGCAUUUCAAAGGAG